This 1695-nucleotide long non-coding RNA is filed under the name Equus caballus (horse). RNAcentral describes it as "lncRNA (ENSECAG00000055379.1)". Lineage: Eukaryota; Metazoa; Chordata; Mammalia; Perissodactyla; Equidae. The record is from RNAcentral.
GGUGGAAACCCGCUCAGACAAAGGCUGACCCCAGCCAGGCUGACUGGCCAGCUAGCCCACCCCCACCCCCCUGCGGCAGGCAGCUUGGCAGGGCUGAGCGCCAGCUCCUCGAUCCAAACCGAGUUCCCACCGAGCGUGCUUAAUGCACCGGCGGUGACAUUUCUGCCUUCAGAGGCAAAAACAGGAACCCGGCCAUUUUGAUGAAGGGCGCCCAAAGUGCAGACGGUAGAUGGAGGACCAGGAUCCGACUCCUGCACCCCCCACCCUAACCGCCCACUCUCCCCUCUGCCCAGUGCCCAAGCCAGAGGGUCACAAAACUGGGGUGGCCAAACAGGGAAGAUGCUACAGAAACCCCCACCUUCUUGUAUAGGUGGGGAAACUGAGGCCACAGCGCUGAAACUAGCUAGAUCUGGAGAAUGUUAAAGGAGGGACUGAGAAAAGCACCGGGGCGGAUGGCCUGAAGAAAGUCCAGUGCACCGUCUCCAUGGAAACCGCGGAGGAGGUCACGGUAGCUGGGCCCCCGCGCGUCACCCCGCGCCUCGCCGGCUGCAGGCGCCCGGAUUGCGGCCUCCCAGGCGCCGCGGCCCGCGUGGACUCCACUCCAAGUUCCCCGCCCCCGCUCUACUCCGCCCGCGGCUCAGGCCAUGUGACUCUGCCGGGUCCAAACCCAGAAUGGCGCACCUGGGCACCAGUGCGCUAGGCUGUGCCUCUGUCCCCGGGCUCUGGCACGCGGGAAUGCGCCAAGAAACACGUGCCCAGCUCCAAGUCGGGAACAUGUGUGGCCAGACGCCGCCGAGGGGCUCAAUGCACUUGCGAAUGCCCUGGAAGAUCGACCUAUAUUGGCGCACAACUCCAGAGCUCUUGCUAAAACGAGACCGCCCGUGGUUAACGCCGGCUCUGGAGUCAGCCGAAUCCCGCCUAGGUAACUUAGCUAUGUGACUUCAAGCAAGUCACGACCUCUCUGCGCCUCAGCUUGCACAUCAGCAAAGCGGAAUUAGUGUGAGGCCUCAGACAAAGUACGUCAAACGCCUAUCACUGUGUUUGGCACGUGGUUCUGAAAAAUGGUAGCUGUGGUUGGGGUUAUUUUUUCCCAGCUGGGAAAGCCAAAGCCCAGAAGGCUUCGCUCAAGAGUGCGGUCAGCCUGAAGGCUGGGAGUUACACCUUGGGAGCUCCCCAGCACCUCAGCCUAGACGCAAAGGCGGGAGGUGAGGGCACGCGUGCCAGCGGCCUAGGGCCUGGGGCGCGGCGGACGGGGUUGGAGCCUCCCGAGCUAGCCACAUCCGCACCCGGAACCCUGGAAAGGGGGCUCCCCGCGGUCUCUCCACCCCCGCCCUCACCCCCGCGCCAGCACCAUUAGCAACAGGCCAGCCUGCCCUCCCUCCCAGGGCUGAGGCCGCACCUGCCCCACCGGAUGGCCGCCCCGGGGCCAGGCCGUGCCCCCCACCGCGCACACUUCCUCCGCCCGCCCCCCCCCAGCGCCCCGUCGAGUGCGCAGGGGGAGGGGAGCGGGCCGCCCCCGCCCCGCCAGCUUCCCACAGCCUGAGCUGCCCGGAGCCGGGGAGGCAGGAAGUCUCAGAGCCGGGGCGUGGAGGCGGGGUAGGGGCAGGAAGUUGGGGGUGACUCUCCCAGAGACCCCAGACGGGGCCCCGGCGUGGGAGCGGGGUGGGCGGGCGCGUAGGGAUUAAGGGUGCCCCC